AGGGUUUAAAAACCCUAAUAUUUAAACAUCUUUUUCUCCUUUUGCUUUCACAUUGCCUCCUUUCAACCCUAAUACAUUUUUUCUCUCUCUUGUAUUUUCCUCUCAACUUUUUCUUUUCUCUUCUUCCUUGUGCCACAGUUCUCCUCUUAGCCUCCUUUUAUCUUUCUUUUCUCUUCUUUCUUCUAUUAUUUGUGCCACCACUCUCUUCCCUUGCACUGCCGCUAUCGCCGCACCUAUUCUCCUUUUCACCACCAUCGCCGCCACACCUUUUCCUUCCUUUUUCGCCAUCGCUGCACCCCUUAACACCAUUGCCUCCCUCCUUUCUUUUGCCAACUUCCUUGCCGCCGCUUGCCAUCGCCUCUUUUUUCGCUACUAUCGCGUUGUUGCCGUGUCGCCACCAAUUUUUCUCAUCUUCUCUUUUUCUUUCCAUUUCUUUCAUUAUAGCCAGAUCUCUGCUUUUUUUUUCCAUUUUUGUUCUCCUAUAGCCGAAUCUCCUUUAACCGUCUAGAUCUCCACUAAUUGUUCGUUCUUGAUCUGAUUUUCGGUGAAGUGUAUAGAUCUGGGCACGUCUAAUCAAAUCUGAUCUGUCAAAGUGUUUUUGGGUCAGAUUUGUAAAUCGGAGAUAAGGAUCUGGACGAGAUCUGACUACAUAUGUAGCAAAGGAGUGUUCCAGAUUAGAUAUAGUGUUGUUUGGGAUGUACAAAUUAAGGUGUGAGUUCUAACCAAAUAAAUUUCCAUAAGUAUUGUCCAUAAGUGUUUUAUUUGCGUUUAGUAGUAUCCAUAUAAUCUAUGCCUUAAUUGUGACUAAUCGAAUGCAUGAGUGCCUUUGGUGAUUAGCCGAAUGAGAUUUAAGCCCUUUACUAGGGUUGGCUGAAUGUAAGGGUUGGCUGAAUGUAAGUGUCUCUGACUAUGGCUUCUGCGUUGACUGAAAUUGUGUAUAUUGUUAUUAUAUUUUUUGUUCUAAUUUGUAUGUUUUAUGAUAUUAUGGCAGAAUAUCGUUGCCGAUAUUCUGAUCACAUGUUUACUGUUACCAUUUUUCUGAGCGCAUGAUGAAAAGCAUGUCCAUUGUGUCUAUUAAAACUGAUUUCAUGUUGAAGCAUGCCUAUUGUAUUGAUUAUGAUUUUGUUAUGCCAUAAUGCAUUGUAUGGGGAUUGGGAUGAUAUGU
Molecule: long non-coding RNA, 1165 nt
Organism: Gossypium raimondii (Peruvian cotton)
Lineage: Eukaryota; Viridiplantae; Streptophyta; Magnoliopsida; Malvales; Malvaceae
Exons: 3
Source: RefSeq, a predicted model, not a curated record